RNAcentral lists this ribosomal RNA (649 nucleotides) under uncultured archaeon. RNAcentral describes it as "bacterial SSU rRNA". It matches the Rfam family "Archaeal small subunit ribosomal RNA", at positions 1 to 652 of the family's 1478-position model. The record is from RNAcentral.
UUCCGGUUGAUCCUGCCGGAGGUUACUGCUAUCGGUGUUCGACUAAGCCAUGCGAGUCAAAUGUUCUUCGUGAACAUGGCGGACUGCUCAGUAACACGUGGAUAACCUGCCCUUAGGUUCGGCAUAACUCCGGGAAACUGGAGAUAAUUCCGAAUAGGUCAAAUAUGCUGGAAUGCUUUUUGGCCAAAAGACUUCGGUUGCCUAAGGAUGGAUCUGCGGUCUAUCAGGUUGUAGUGGGUGUAACGUACCUACUAGCCUACGACGGAUAUGGGUUGUGAGAGCAAGAGCCCAGAGAUGGAUUCUGAGACAUGAAUCCAGGCCCUACGGGGCGCAGCAGGCGCGAAAACUUUACAAUGCGGGAAACCGCGAUAAGGGGACACCGAGUGCCAGCAUUUAUGUUGGCUGUCCACAUGUGUAAACGGCAUGUGUUAGCAAGGGCCGGGCAAGACCGGUGCCAGCCGCCGCGGUAACACCGGCGGCCCGAGUGGUAAUCACUUUUAUUGGGUCUAAAGGGUCCGUAGCCGGUUUGAUCAGUUCUUCGGGAAAUCUGACAGCUCAACUGUUAGGCUUCCGGGGAAUACUGUCAGACUUGGGACCGGGAGAGGUAAGAGGUACUACAGGGGUAGGAGUGAAAUCUUGUAAUCCCUGU